This 1299-nucleotide ribosomal RNA is filed under the name metagenome. RNAcentral's name for it is "bacterial LSU rRNA". It matches the Rfam family "Bacterial large subunit ribosomal RNA", at positions 1635 to 2925 of the family's 2925-position model. The record is from RNAcentral.
UACACGACCGUACCGCAAACCGACACUGGUGCGCGAGAUGAGUAUUCUAAGGCGCUUGAGAGAACUCAGGAGAAGGAACUCGGCAAAUUGACACCGUAACUUCGGAAGAAGGUGUGCCUUUAGUAGGUGAACCUGUACAAGGGGAGCCCAAUGAGGUUGCAAAAAAUCGGUGGCUGCGACUGUUUAAUAAAAACACAGCACUCUGCAAACACGAAAGUGGACGUAUAGGGUGUGACGCCUGCCCGGUGCUGGAAGAUUAAAUGAUGGGGUGCAAGCUCUUGAUUGAAGUCCCAGUAAACGGCGGCCGUAACAAUAACGGUCCUAAGGUAGCGAAAUUCCUUGUCGGGUAAGUUCCGACCUGCACGAAUGGCGUAACGAUGGCCACACUGUCUCCUCCUGAGACUCAGCGAAGUUGAAAUGUUUGUGAUGAUGCAAUCUCCCCGCGGAAAGACGGAAAGACCCCAUGAACCUUUACUGUAGCUUUGUAUUGGACUUUGAACAGAUCUGUGUAGGAUAGGUGGGAGGCUUUGAAGUGUGGUCGCUAGAUCGCAUGGAGCCAACGUUGAAAUACCACCCUGGUGUGUUUGAGGUUCUAACCUAGGCCCGUAAUCCGGGUCGGGGACAGUGCAUGGUAGGCAGUUUGACUGGGGCGGUCUCCUCCCAAAGCGUAACGGAGGAGUUCGAAGGUACGCUAGGUACGGUCGGACAUCGUGCUAAUAGUGCAAUGGCAUAAGCGUGCUUAACUGCGAGACUUACAAGUCGAGCAGAUGCGAAAGCAGGACAUAGUGAUCCGGUGGUUCUGUAUGGAAGGGCCAUCGCUCAACGGAUAAAAGGUACUCUGGGGAUAACAGGCUGAUACCGCCCAAGAGUUCAUAUCGACGGCGGUGUUUGGCACCUCGAUGUCGGCUCAUCUCAUCCUGGGGCUGUAGCCGGUCCCAAGGGUAUGGCUGUUCGCCAUUUAAAGAGGUACGUGAGCUGGGUUUAAAACGUCGUGAGACAGUUUGGUCCCUAUCUUCCGUGGGCGCUGCAGAUUUGAGGAAGCCUGCUCCUAGUACGAGAGGACCGGAGUGGACACACCUCUGGUGUAUCGGUUGUCACGCCAGUGGCAUUGCCGAGUAGCUAUGUGUGGAAGAGAUAACCGCUGAAAGCAUCUAAGCGGGAAACUCGUUUCAAGAUGAGAUCUGCCGGGGCCUUGAGCCCCCUAAAGAGUCGUUCAAGACCAGGACGUUGAUAGGUCGGGUGUGGAAGCGCAGUAAUGCGUUAAGCUAACCGAUACUAAUUGCUCGUGCGGCUUGACUU